AUUGAACGCUGGCGGCAGGCCUAACACAUGCAAGUCGAACGGAGCGGCGAACGGGUGAGUAAUGCAUAGGAAUCUGCCUGGUAGUGGGGGAUAACGUCCGGAAACGGGCGCUAAUACCGCAUACUAUUGGAUGAGCCUAGGUCGGAUUAGCUAGUUGGUGGGGUAAAGGCCUACCAAGGCGACGAUCCGUAACUGGUCUGAGAGGAUGAUCAGUAACACGGGAACUGAGACACGGGCCAGACUCCUACGGGAGGCAGCAGUGGGGAAUCUUGGACAAUGGGCGAAAGCCUGAUCCAGCCAUUCCGCGUGUGUGAGGAAGGUCUUCGGAUUGUAAAGCACUUUAAGUUGGGAGGCGGUACCAGCAGAAUAAGCACCGGCUAACUUCGUGCCAGCAGCCGCGGUAAUAC
Molecule: ribosomal RNA, 407 nt
Filed under: uncultured bacterium
Lineage: Bacteria
Description: partial 16S ribosomal RNA
Rfam family: Bacterial small subunit ribosomal RNA
Source: RNAcentral